ACCUCCAUUGCAAGGUGGUAAUCCUAUUGAAAGCACUGGAAUGUUUUUGGUAAGGUCUAUCCAAACUUUGGAGGCACAGCUCUUGAGGCUGCUCUGCACCAUCCCCUCCAAAAUUUUGCCUUCCCAAUUGUUCCUACUUGGAAUGAGAUGUAUUUAGCACAUAAUUAAUGAUGUUAAGGAGGGAGGAGGGAGAUGCUCUUGUACGAGGUGAUGUGAGGCUUGCCGAAUGCUUAUUUAGACUACGCUAAUGCACAUGAUUUUUCCCUAGGAUAUCACCUUAAGACACUAGUGCUGUUUCUAAAGCUUUGAUGUUCAGUGCUCACAUCUGAUCCUCUGAAGUGGAUUUUCCAGGAGACAGGAGCUGAUGCAAAGACUUUCUUGUCAAAAGAUAUCUUUCCUCUCUGGCAAAUCAAGGAAUGAGUGAAAGCGAUGGCUGGCACUAAAGGGAUUUACUGUUCCUAUUCCAGGUCACGGAUAUACUCUAGAAACUUAGUGAAGAUAAUGAGCUUCAAGGGCUGUGGGAACCUGCAAUUGCAGCAGAACUGAGAUAUCUUGCAAAAACAUUAAAAGGACAACAGGAGAUCGCGCUUGAGGGGAGAGGAAGUGCAGAACUACGUAUGUGGCUACCUGAAUGACAAAGCUUUAUGUCAAGACUCAUUGAAUGUCCUGCUUUGUUCUUCUUUUCCUGUGCUAGGAUUAAUGUGUCAUUUGAAUGUUUUAUCUUGCCUGUGAACGACUAUAUUUAUGAAUUCUGAAAGCAGAUCCAAGGUGGAGGAGCCACUGUACAGAGAAGUCACAGUUCUUUCCCCUGCAGCCACAUGACAUUGAAAUACAGCUGAGGAGCACAACAGCCAUUGCUCAUAUCAGCUGGGGGGGGUGGCUAGGGUGAGGUGAGCAAUAGCAGUAUCACUACAGAGAAUAGCUAUUCUAGAGCUAAUAUUACCUGAUGAGGGCAAAAAUUGUUAAGUGGUUCAUUCCUUUAGGCUCUUACUUGGCUUUAACUCAAAAUAAACUUAGCUGUGAGUAAAAGGUCUGCUCUGUGGCCCAAAUGGGAGCUUGUCUUCAUGUCUUGUAAUAGAUGCACUUUUCUGCAAGAGAGGCAAAGCAGUAUUGGUUUUCUCAUCCUGAAAGUUUAAUUCAGUGGAGAGUGCAUUUGGUGCUGCUGUAGUUGCACUGAUAGUUCUAUCCUUCCAUAUAUAUAUAUACAUAUAGUUUCAAUAUACCUAUUCUGUUUUGUAAGAUCAGUGAAGAAUGUUAGCAUUAUUCAAGCAUAAAUGGCUUGAAGCUGUGUCAGGGGAGGGUCAGGCUGGAUGUCAGGAACAGGUUCUUCACCAAGAGGGUGCUCAGGCACUGGGACAGGCUCCCCAUGGCAGUGGCCAUGGCACUGAGCCUGCCGGAGUUCAAGAAGCUUUUGGGCAAUGCUCUCAGACACAUGGUUUGAUUUUUUGGGUGGUCCUUUGGGGACCCAGGAGUUGGACUCAAUGAUCCUUGUGGGUUCCUUCCAACUUGGGAUAUUCUGUGAUUCUGUGGUUAUGCUUUAGGAUCACUAGGCAGGGACUAAAAUGUAUUAGCAAAUUAUCUAUUCUUGUUAGCAGGACAAGAGAUGAACAACAAAUGAAUUGUUGCCUUCUGCUAAAUCAGCACAAACCUGAAUGUCCUGUUGUUAAUUGUUUAUGAGCUUGUUUUAAGUUUCCUGUAGCAGUCAGCUCAAAAUCUGCUAAUAUUGUUCCAAAACAUAAAAUCCUUUUUCUCUGCUACUUUGUAGUGAUAUACAUCUGGGUAACGUGGGUGUAAAAUGUUAUUGCUCUGUCGUGGGAGAGCUUUACACCCACUUUUUGCUGGUGUCAAUGACUACACUUGCUAAGAGGCAAGCAUGGAAUCAAGCAUUUAAAAUAAAGUUCAAUAAGCAGAUUAGGCAAAGUUGUCAAAGAAAGCCGAGCUGCAUAGCUGCAGUUAAUGCCAGAAAUCAUGAUGUAUUGUUAAAAAAGCAAAUGUUAAUUGAACAAUUAAAACCCCUAUUUACAAUAUGCAGAAAAGCCUGGGGGUUCUGCUUUAAAGUAAAGCUGAGUGUUUCAACUGAAACCAUGCCUGCCUUGAAAUGAAAUGU
Cygnus olor (mute swan) is the source of this 2107-nucleotide long non-coding RNA. RefSeq lists it as uncharacterized. Lineage: Eukaryota; Metazoa; Chordata; Aves; Anseriformes; Anatidae. The record is from RefSeq and is a predicted model, not a curated record. The transcript has 4 exons.